Molecule: non-coding RNA, 89 nt
Organism: Lupinus angustifolius (narrow-leaved blue lupine)
Lineage: Eukaryota; Viridiplantae; Streptophyta; Magnoliopsida; Fabales; Fabaceae
Source: Rfam
AGUUGACUAGGAUGAUAUUUAUUCAGCUUUUGCCAGUUCUGCUUCUGAGAAUUCUUGAUUGAUAAAGCUGUUACAUAUUCUGAGCCUCU